GACGAACGCUGGCGGCGUGCUUAACACAUGCAAGUCGAACGGAAAGGCCCUGCUUUUGUGGGGUGCUCGAGUGGCGAACGGGUGAGUAACACGUGAGUAACCUGCCCUUGACUUUGGGAUAACUUCAGGAAACUGGGGCUAAUACCGGAUAGGAGCUCCUGCUUCAUGGGGGGGGUUGGAAAGUUUCGGCGAUUGGGGAUGGACUCGCGGCUUAUCAGCUUGUUGGUGGGGUAGUGGCUUACCAAGGCUUUGACGGGUAGCCGGCCUGCGAGGGUGACCGGCCACAUUGGGACUGAGAUACCGCCCAGACUCCUACGGGAGGCAGCAGUGGGGAAUAUUGCACAAUGGGCGGAAGCCUGAUGCAGCAACGCCGCGUGCGGGAUGACGGCCUUCGGGUUGUAAACCGCUUUCGCCUGUGACGAAGCGUGAGUGACGGUAAUGGGUAAAGAAGCACCGGCUAACUACGUG
Molecule: ribosomal RNA, 468 nt
Filed under: uncultured bacterium
Lineage: Bacteria
Description: partial 16S ribosomal RNA
Rfam family: Bacterial small subunit ribosomal RNA
Source: RNAcentral